AUAAUCCGCCUUAUACACCGGGGGGGGGGGGGGGGAUAGAGUUGUGGUGUCAAAAUGAAUUAAUUAAUCGACAGUUAAUCAACCAUCAAAUGACUCGACAGCUAUUUUGAAAGCCCAUCCAUCAUUUAGAGCCGGUUUUCAUUUUAAAUAGCCAUAUCCGAUUUGAAGGUAUCUUCAAACAUCCGAUUUUAUUUAGGAGAGCGGUGUUACAACACAUUUUCGCAUUCUGCAUUUUCUGACAUAUUACAGACCAAAACUGUAACUGUAAUCAGUUAAUGGAAGAAAAAAAAAACCCCCAGCAGUCAUCAUAUGAAUCACCUGUAAUUGAACCUGAAGCCCAGAGGUGAAGGCAGCCCUUUGCAUGAAUCAAUAACCAAGAAGUAGUUGCCAUUUUCCAAAACGUUGGCCAGUACGUCACUCCCUCCCAGGUGAAUUGUGUUCUGCUUUUGUUUCAUUAUGAAAUACAAUACCCAAUAACCAAUGAGAAGAGAGGGGUUGGGGGGGGGGAUUUUGCAUUUUGGUGCAACAUCAUUUUUAUAUGAUUAUUCGAGGCCUCCGUCGAAUAACUGACUCUUAAAAUAGUCACCAGUUCAAUAGCCCUAAUAGAAAGUCAUGCGGUUUAUGACCUGGUGUUGUCAAUGUAUAACCCGGCCUCGAGGGGCCUAAAGUCAAACCUGUUUUUCACCUGAGCCUUGACUAUAGCAUAAUAAAAGAUCCAGUUCCACUUUUAGCCUGGAUGUCGUUUCGCAACGUGUGAAUAAAGUCGCAUCCCACGACAGUGACAGUCACUAUUUCUUGACGACCUUUGGCGGGUGAAGUGGGGCAGAGGGGGCGGAGGGUGGGGUGGGGGGGCCUGUCACACAACCUUCCUCUCAAAACUUGAGUGUGCGGACGCAUAGCAGGAGGGGAUGGAGCAAGUCAAACUUUGGAUCCGCGACACCUUUUUUUUUUUUUCAAUUUCCCCCCCCCCCACCCCACCUCUUCUUCCAUUUGAAGUUCGGAGACAGUCUCAUUUAAGCCUCAUCGCGCAGCAACACGGGAGGAAAGUGUAAUGAAUAUGUAUCAACACAGCAUAUGGCAGCAGGAGCACUGGGACUAGGUGUGUCCAGAAGGUAGAGUGCCGCCAAUGCAUUAUUCUCCAUUCAAAUGAGAGAAGAGGAACUGAAAAGGUGUUCAGCACCUUCUCACAUGGGCCACUUGCAGAAAUAUUCGAAACACAAGAGGAAGAGGCACUGUGUGAAAUGAGUAAAAAAAUAAUAAUAAUAAUUGAGAGGCAGUCAUGAGGACAGGAAUCAAGCAGUGAAGUUUCCUUGAUUUCCAAUUUUUUAUUUUUUUAUUUUAUUUUUUUGUCAACCAACCCGGCGCUCGCUGACACAAACGUGAUUAAAAGUGAUCUUUCUGACACAUUAGGAUGCACACGGGAAGUAACCUCCUCCAAAGCGUUCAUUAUUAGAUGCAUGACAGACCUGAAUAUUUAUAAAAUAGGUUUUAAUAAUUAAUCGCGGCAAUCUGCUCCUGUAAUUCAUCAGAUUUGCACUUCAACAGAGUAUCCGUUUUUGACUUUAAAAUAAUAAUAAGCGGAAUAUGAAUGUUGCGGGGGAGGUAAAACGGGCAGCUGGAUGCAUCGGGCCGAGCGCCCGCCCCCCCCUGCCCGCCGUUCGCCUACUCAGGCUUUCCCCGUCGCGAGGACAAGUCAAACGAUAUUUGAAAGCUUCAGUCUUGCGCGGUGUGAAGAGCAGCGGUUUGUUCUCGUGCGUGACAGCUUAGUGAACGGCUUCUCGCAAGUGUCGUGAAGAUGCAGGAAACGCAAGUUGGUUUGGUUUUGAAUGCUAAAGUAGUUUCUGUGGUUUUUAUUUGAGGAAAAAAAAGGGUAAUUCAUUCGUUUGAGUCAACUUAACAGUACUUCCUUCAGUUUACUAAGACCCAAAAUAGACAGCGUUCUUUUUUCACCCCCUCCCUGUCAAGUAUUUCUGCUUGUUUCAUUUUUUUUUCUCCCUGAACCCUUUUUUGAAAAAUUGUUUUAUCACAUCCUUCAAACGCAGUCGCAGCACAUUCCUCAUUCGACUGAACUCCCAGAAAGAACAUUGAUCCUGUUUCAGGUGAAAACUGCCAUGUUUGAUUCCACCCCCUUAUUGAAGUUCUGGCUAAAAAUUGUUGUUGUUGUUUUUUGUUUUUUUUGUUUAAUGAUGUGACCCGCAGCUUUAAAAUACUGCAAACUGAACUCGCGAUCAUCCACAUCCAAAUAACUAUGACACUCUUGUACGCACUUUUGUAAAGGCUGAGUCUUUGAUCGUAUCCAUAUUAUUAUUAUUAUUAUUUUUUUUUUUUUUACUUUAUGUUAACUGUUUUGUAAAGCGCUUUGUUACAGCUGCCGCUGUUGUGAAAGCGCUAUAUAAAUCAGCAUGUAUUGUAUUGUAUUGUAUUGUAUUGUAUUGUAUUGUAUUGUAUCGUAUCGUAUCCCUGUCAAUAACGUGGCUGGUUGAGUACGCACAGCAGCCAUACAUGGUGCGCUCAUUCCCGUACCACUCAGGCUUGCGCGACGAACACACCCGACCGACGCCGUCAUCCUGCUCGUAAGCAAAAGACAACAAAUGAAGGAUCUAUGAAGGGGACUCACAGCCACACGGGGGGAGUGGGGGGGGGGGGGGUGCUCUGUGAAAUCCCCCGAGCCGGAAGACUCUUUCUCUUCACUUCCUCCCCGCAGUCCUACAAAGAAACAAGUUACAUCAAAUUUUCAUCAGGCAUCCAAAAAGUUAGCACAAUAUUAUUUAAAGGAGAGAGCGAAGCAACAUUGAAACGGGGUGACAUCGAUUUAAUCAGUGGGGGGGUGGAAAAAAGAAAGUUGGAAUUAGUCAUCGGGAUCGCGCUGAUGUAUUUAUUUUAAUGCCAGAGUGCCUUAUUUGCUGUCAAAAUGUCUUCAGCCUCUUAUUAGAGGAAUGCCACAGCUCAUUUCCUUGUAACGCCAUUCAUAGGCUGCUGAAAGAGGGCAUGUCUAAAGAUCUAAACAGCCGGCUUUUUAGGCCUCACAUUAGUGGUGCGUGUCAUUGAUUGACAUUAUUGGGCCUGACAGGGCUUCACGUCAAGGUUAACUUCACGGCCAAAAGUGCUGCCUGCCUGCACCAACACACAUCGACGCACGCCGACGCGCCGCGCUCAUUCGCUCGCUAAUAUGCCACCAACCCCCCCCCCCACCCCUAAAAAAUAGAAAACGAUCCUCAACCUCCUGUUGAGAGCCAUGAUGAGGAUGAUGAUGGUCUGUGUGUGUGUGCGCGUAUGUGUGUGUGUGUGUGUGUCAUCUUCAUUGUUGUGAGCGUGAUGCCAGGUGGAGAUUUGGAGACUUAAUUGAUAACUAAUGGAGCGGCAUGUGCUGAGUUUACCCUGGAGGAUUGACACAGAGUGUGUGUGUGUGCGUGUGUGUGUGUGUGUGUGUGUGUGUGUGUGUGUGUGUGUGUGUGUGCGUGUGUGUAAUUUGUAAUUUGACUUACUCAGCAGUGUAACUCCGAAUUGCAUCGAAUUAAAAACGUGACCCCAAAAGAUUACGACGCGUCAGGUCUCUUUUCCAUCCAAACAGAAAAAGUGUGUAACGUCAUCUCACUCUCAACAAGCCACAAAGACAAAGCGAGAUCCCCGUGACCAAACUACAAGUGAAGCAGUUAAUCUGUACAGAUAUUAGCUGAAGGGCCCUUGAGAGGUGCACCGUUGAGCCCCCCCCCAUCUCCACUGUACUACCCACGAUGCCUCGCUGCCGCGCCACACGCCACGGCCGCGGGACACACACACACACACACACACACAGGAGUUGUCUGCUCAUUUACCGUGGCGCUCGGUUGAUCAAAUUGCACCCUUGCGAACGUCUUGAAAGUGAACGCGGAAGCUGAGGUCCAAAACAAAGCUUCAGGAAUAAAUUUCCCCUGCUAUUCUCAGCAAAAGCGUUUGAACCGCGUGGGCCGACUGCGUAUUUAUUUCAAGCCCGGACUCGUGAAAUUGAAACACUCACAAAGUGAAGUCAUCCCGUGCUUCCAGCUGCGAGUCCAGAUUUGGUCUGCAAAAUUAACAAGUUAGCCGUGUGUCCCGUGAAUUACCCAAAGCGGCGAGCAGGCAUAAAAGUUGGUGUGCGGCUGUCACAAUAGGUCUCGUCACUCCCUUUUCUUCGCCCUUCAACCACUUUUGGCUGCGUGUCCUCCGCUCUGGAAAAGACCGUAAUUACUCCGUUUUUUGGAUCAAGUCCCGGGCUGUAUUUGUCCUUGUAGAUUUGCCCUCAAGUUCAACGUCUUUUCCUCUUCCUCUCUUCACUUCAAACAUACUGUCAUACUCUUUUUGCGGCGGGCUUUUCGGUCAAUCGUCCAGUGUGCGAUUCUGACUUUAGUCUCUGCCAUUGCCCCGUAGCGUGCUAUUUGCUUCGCUCGAAGGCUCGUGCGCUUGUGAUUGUAGCUCGUAGAUCGUGCCGAUAGGAAAUAGUCGGGGCCCUUCAAGGGUGGGCCCUUUCGCAAUGAGCAAAGGUCAUAUUUUGGACUGAGAGCAAUAAGUGCUUUCUUGAGAGGUAAUUGAAAGAAAAAAGAUCAAAUAAAGAAGCAGAGACCCGAGCGUGUGAUUAUUAAUAAAAGAGAUGUGUGCAAGAGAGGGGCCUGUGAGGGGCGUGUGUGCAAAGAGGACAUGUUUGAACCGCGUGCACGUUGUUGUCCGCCUGCAUGUGUGCAUGCAUCGAUAUUGAAAUCAGAAUUUAACCCCGGAGAACCCAAGAACCCUUUUCUUAUUUUGGAAAAUUAUGAAUUUUACAUUAAAUGACUGAUAUAUGUUCAGUGAACACCAAAAUAUAUGUUUUUUUAAAAAAAUAUUUCAUGCUUUAAUCGGCGGCCCAGUAGUCCAGUGGUUAGCACAUCGGCUUCACAGUGCAGAGGUACCGGGUUCAAUUCCAGCUCCGGCUUCCCUGUGUGGAGUUUGCAUGUUCUCCCCGGGCCUGCGUGGGUUUUCUCCGGGUGCUCCGGUUUCCUCCCACAUUCCAAAAACAUGCGUGGCAGGCCGAUUGAACACUCUAAAUUGUCCCUAGGUGUGAGUGUGAGCGUGGAUGGUUGUUCGUCUAUGUGUGCCCUGCGAUUGGCUGGCAACCGAUUCAGGGUGUCCCCCGCCUACUGCCCGAAGACGGCUGGGAUGGGCUCCAGCACCCCCCGCGACCCUAGUGAGGAUCAAGCGGCUUGGAAGAUGAAUGAAUGAAUGCUUUAAUCCUAAUUUAGGAUUAGGGCCAAAUUUGACCCUUUGGGAUUUAAGGGGAGCAUUUGAGGAGCAGAAUUGAUUGGGGCCAAAUUUGACCCCGUGGGUUCGCCAGGGUUUGAAAAAUAAUAUUAAAAAAAAAAACACAAAGGGAAGCAAAUGUUUUAAAUUGAUAGCGAUGGUAGUUUUCCGCACCCGUACGCACGCUCCCACCUCUUUAAUUUUUUUUUCUGACUAUUUCCGCUCAGUCAUAUUUGUCAUCAUUGUGUCUACUCUGCAAUUAUCGUCUUUCGUGAAAUUAAACUGAAGCACCCCGGCAACCAGGGAACUCCAAAAUGAGCGGAUUUACAUUCGAGUUGGGGGAGCGCGCCGUCCCAGCACCAACUAAAGCGCUUCUUACAGGAAGACGCUGAGGCUCAGGUGGGCUGGCGGGGGCUCAAUAUGCUCCGCCGGCCCCUUCUACCUCCGGUUGUAAUCUGCCCUCAAGUACUCAGCCAUCUUUACAGCCUUGUCUCUCAUUCCCCACUCCACAUAAACUUCCCCUCCGAUGUGCACCACCCCCUAAUCUUCAUCUAUCAUCUAGUUGGCAAUGGCAUUGUUUUUAAUCAUCAGAACCUCAAAAUUAUUAUCGCUUCUGAUGCGGCAAUUAAAACUUCAGGUCAGAGGCACAACGAGCGGUGAUCAGCAGCCGAGCUGAGAAGUUUUAAUUAGACGAUCAGAACCAUUAAUGCACAAAAAAAAAAGGUGUGCGCUGGGAAAUUAACGGGAACGUCUUAAUCAGGGUUAGCGACUCCGAAGAGGAGUCAAGUGAACAGAGAGCAAAAAACAAAUCAUUUCCGCACCACUGGGACAAAACGCAAUUAAAUAUGGAUGCGGAAAAAUGGAAAUUUCCCGGCAUCAGCUUCGCAGACUCCUCGAAAAGUGUAGCAAAAAUCUCACACUGGGGUUGACGACCCCGCUUAUUGUUAUUCUUGUGUAAUAAAAAUGAGAAAAGGGGCCAGAUGCUGCGGUCCGGGCAUCAUGGCGCACGUCCAUCGGUGGCUUUCCGCUUGACUUCCUCGCGGAGGAGAACAAUUUCAAACGCUCUGUCUGACACACACACACACACACACGCACAUAAUCUCAAACACACAGCCCAGGUUCAACUGGUACACGCCGAUUGAUUCAACCACCAAAGGUUCAUAAAGUUCUAAGAUAAAGCAAAUCUCGGUUGCAUCAUGUAAAAUAAUCUUCAUCUCUCAGACGCUGUUUGUAUUAAUUAAGUCCAGAUAUUGCUCGAUUAUUAGCCUCUGCAUCAUUCAUAUUGGAACUCAGCGGGAAUCGACAACCAAGACAUACCGUAACGGUUUUAUGGGGCGAACGCGUUCGGCGUGUUCAUGACACUAAAGUGGAUCGACCUCAACAUCUACCACUCUUAUUGAGACAAUAAAACUCAUCGGCCGCACAAAUAAACUCAACUAUGGAUUUACUGUCUUCACGGGGGUUUAGAUAGCAGCCCCGCACAUGAAAAUCCAGAUGGAAUUCUUGACAAUCGAAGAUAUGUCGUAUUAGGAAAAUGGAUGAUUAGUAGCGGAUGUGAAAAAAAAAUGGACGGAAACUGUCAGAAAAUGGGCGGCCCGGUAGUCUAGUGGUUAGCACGUGGGCUUCACAGUGCAGAGGUACCGGGUUCGAUUCCAGCUCCGGCCUCCCUGUGUGGAGUUUGCAUGUUCUCCCCGGGCCUGCGUGGGUUUUCUCCGGGUGCUCCGGUUUCCUCCCACAUUCUAAAAACAUGUGUAGCAGGCUGAUUGAACACUCUAAAUUCUCCCUAGGUGUGAGUGUGAGCGUGGAUGGUUGUUCGUCUCUGUGUGCCCUGCGAUUGGCUGGCAACCGAUUCAGGGUGUCCCCCGCCUACUGCCCGGAGACAGCUGGGAUAGGCUCCAACACCCCCCGCGACCCUAGUGAGGAUCAAGCUGUUAGGAAGAUGAAUGAAUGAAUGAAUGUCACAAAAUGCCUACCUAGAGAUGACGCGUUUUCUGUUUUUAUUUAAUUUCUUUGGAUUUGUUUGCACACCAUAACACCAUCUUUGUUGCACGUUAAAAAAAAAGUAAUAAUAAUAAUAAUUCGACCCGGAUGAACCCAGACAGAGGUAAAGCCGUGACCCGACUCGUCGCCGCCAUCAUUAAAAUUCUCCCAUCCUUGACUCCGAAAGCCGCCUUGAUUACAGUCUGCGCGCGUUCACACAGAUAAUGCACUUCCAACAGCGUUAUUAGGAUUUGAAACGCCACUUGAUUGGGCGUGAUAUCAUUCUGGCACACAAACAGAGCCCCCUACAUUAAAAAGGAAACCAAAAAAAAAAAAAAAAACAGGACCUUUGGAGAGUCAAUUGUCGGCUCGGCUGAAUGUCGAGC
Molecule: long non-coding RNA, 7595 nt
Organism: Hippocampus zosterae (dwarf seahorse)
Lineage: Eukaryota; Metazoa; Chordata; Actinopteri; Syngnathiformes; Syngnathidae
Exons: 2
Source: RefSeq, a predicted model, not a curated record